Gasterosteus aculeatus aculeatus (three-spined stickleback) is the source of this 11231-nucleotide long non-coding RNA. The record is from Ensembl. Lineage: Eukaryota; Metazoa; Chordata; Actinopteri; Perciformes; Gasterosteidae.
AUCAGAAAAAACAUUACGUUUUGUAAUUGCUGUUAGGAUAUAAAAUAAAACAUUCCUAUUGGCCCUAAACUGGCCCCUAAACAAGCGAGUUGCUUGUUGUGGAAAUUACCCAAAAGCUGGAACAGCAAACGCUGUUGUGUUUGGGUUCAUGACAUCAUCCGUCGCCACAGAUCAAGUCCAAGUGUUUCUGGAUAACUGCCGCUUCCAGCGCUACUUUAGGCUAACCAGCUGCCAGUUUGAUGACCCGUUGAAUUGGUGCCAGCGUCUCUCGGUUAGACACUAACUAACUUACAGGCGUUCAAUCUCAGCUGCAGAGCUGGUGAGCGGCAGUUUCAAGUGUAUUCUCGCUUGGGCUGCAAGAUAGCAAGAUUUUUUUUUCAACUUUGGUGAAAAAGCGGUUCAUACGCUUCCCUCCUUUCGCAUUUUUGCGUCCUCCGCGUCCGUUGAAAAUGUGCUUCCUCCGCAACCAUCCGCAUCUAUGCAUUGACUUUGCAUGUAAAAUAUUCAUGCAAAUAAUUUGCUUCCCUUUUGGUGUGAACACAGCAUAACUCUCAUCCUCAUGAAACCUGUGCCUGGUUGGCACCUUGGUCCAUGGGAAUUCUCUGCGGCAUGGUUGAGAGUGGGCAGGUGAGGAUAGACACAGAGAACAUCAAAGUAGCAGCAAUGUGGCCCACACCCUCCUGCAGAAAGCUGUUGAUGUGGGUAACGAGGAAAAUCUGGCGGUGAAUUUGACUCUCGAGGAGUGGAGACAUUGGCUGGAGGGAUCAGAAAUCUGUUUUAUCGUGUGAUGAUGAUCUUGCCUACAUCUAAGCGACUGAAUUACCGUCCCGUAGUAUUUUUUGGCCAUUUCAACUUUACCAUCACUUACAACAUCAAGCCGGAUGCUCUGUCCCGCGAGUUUGCCUUAAAGGAGUCCCCGAGUGGAUCGGAUAACAUUUUGUCCACACCUGCCCGUACUACCUCUUACCGACGGCUGGUCAUCGUUGGUCUCACAACGGCGUGGACUUUGUCAGCGGCCUCCCUCUUUCUGAUGGGAUGACCACAAUACUUUUAUGGACCGGUUCUCCAAGUCCGCCCAUUUCAUUGGCCUUCCCAAGCUUCCUUCAGCUUGCAAGACCACGGUUUUCUUGAUGAAUCAUGUCUUCCACCUUCAUGCAUAUUUGUUGGACAUUGUCUCAGACCGUGGCCGUCAGUUCAUCUCGCAAGUUUGCAAGUCGUUCUGCCACGCCCUUGAAGCUACAGUCAGCCUGUCGCCUCGUUUCCACCCACAGACUGAAGGACAGACUGAGAGAGCCAAUAAGGAUCUGGAGUCCGCCAUACUUAUAACUUUCUGGAAUACUCACUUAAGUUGGAUAGAGUAUGCACACUGCUCUCUCCCCUCCUCUGCCACUGGGGGUUUCUCCGUUUGAUGGAUCAUUAGGCUAUCAACCUCCACUGUUCCAAGAACAGAAAGAGGAGUUGGCUGUUAAACACCUGUCGCAACAUUUGGAGUGACACCAAGGCAGCACUGUUAAGGACAGCUGAAAGAAACAAUAGGAUUGCUGGAGAGGUUCUGGAAAUGAUUAAUAUCACUGUUGUUUGACCUAACCAUCCAUUUCAGGAAAAGCCUCAUAAAUCGUCCCCUUAGCGAACAGCGAAUCAGUAACCCCUUCAGGGGUGAAAUAUUGGGAUGACACUGUUGUCAUGGCUCCCUGGCUCUCGUCUUAAUAAAGAGGAAAAGCUAACUUGGAGCGGGUGCUGUUAAGACCUUUUUAUAGGAAAGUAUUUGGAAGUUAAUUGAGUGCUUCUGUGAAGACAUUAUGUGAAUUUAGCUGCUUCAGUAAAUCCCUCUCAUGCAGCACUUACUCCCUGUAGUUUAAAAUCAACAACCCAAAAAUUAUUUGCUGCUAAUUAACCUAGUAGGUCAGGUGAAAAGGUAUUAUCUACAGAAUUGAAUGUUGAGUUACUGCCAGCAAAUACAGUAGCGGAAGACAGCCCCCCCUUCUGACACGCACAUGCAGAGUACUUCCAUCAAUCUGCGAUAGAAGAGGUUAAUGGUGAGGGUUAGAUGUAAUGAUCUACGUCAGAUUAGUCUUCCCCGGAUGAUGCGGCUGGAGUUUUUCAGAAUAUUUUUGUGUCAGUAAUAUCCUUCAGGAUUUUGCAUGCAUACAUACCAAGCACAGUCAAGCAAUGAAUUACCAAAUACAAUACCAAAUUGAUCCAUUGCAUAAUGUGUUUGGUGUUAUACAUUUUGAAAGUCUUCUUAAACAACUCAUAAAUUAGCCUUGGCCUAUCAUUUUCCAUGUUAUCAAUGCAGUUUAUGGGGCUCUAGGGUUAAAGCCUCCAUGUAAAUUGUGAAUGAAUUGUAAAUCAAUAGCUGACAUCAUCCAACAUAUACUUAUAUUCCCUCUAUUGGUCUUAUUUGAAUGAAAAUGUAUGUGCAUAAAAAGAUCCCCAGUGGAUCCAUUGACAUUUUUUAGGGAGAACACAAGAUGGCAGCAUUAAGCAGUUUUUAAGAGAAGGAUCUUAGUGCUGCAUUUGCAGCUCAAGGCCACAGGUGGUCUGUUUGUAGUUGUGUCCCAAUUCCCUCGGCUGCAGCCUUGUAUGACCCAGCCUUCGCGGUAAACCUGGGCUGGGUCCUCCAACAACCGAAUAGGCUUAACCGAGUGGUCUCUGUAAUGGGACGGUUUGGACUUCCCGCUUGCGUCAUCAGCAUUACCUCCACUGCUCCUGUUGUGUAGCAACCUGCUGCACUUGACAGUAAAAGACUUAAAACCCACAAAACGUACAGUACAGAUAGAAAAUUUCUUCUUAUUUCAUUUAAUUUAGAAAGAUAUGCUUCAGCUCGGGAGCAUGAUAUAUUUGAGGCUGAGAGAAAAACAUUUUCCGGUUAUUUUAAAUUGAAAUUAAACAGUUAAGCCUGUACUUUGAGCUAAAAGUAAUAUUUUUUUUCUUGCACAGGAUGCAAGCUAUUUUAAAUGGAACUUUAAGAUAUUACAGAAUAUGUCCACGCUACAAUAGCUGAAUGUCACCACACACAUUGUUCUCUUCAGCUUGAUGCUGCUGCCUCCUGGCUACAUAUAACAAAUUUAUUUUCAAUGUUUGUAACAUUAAGGACUUAGAAAGUGAUAUUUCAGGUUCAUAACUUGUCUACUCAAGCUCACUUUGAUCCUUUUCUGUUCAUAAUAUGACGUAUAAACAAUAUAUAAAACUGUCACAGCCUCAGUAGGAUAUUAGUCAGCCUAUAACUUGAGGCCUUAAAGUGACUUUUCACUGAUAACUAGAGACGAGCUGCCGUUAACAGCACAACGGCUCCCGGUCACAUGAGCUGCUUGUUGUGUAUUAUAAAUGUGUUGGUACAUUGAUGUUCAAAAGAAGCAAGAAGCAACCCAAGUUUCAGGGUUCAGCUGAGGAGCGUAGUCUGGGUCAGGGGCUGUAUAGGGGGAAUGGGGAUAGGGACAGCAGGACACCUGUGAAUUCUAUUAAUUAACAUUACAUUUAAAAUUGAAGGAUAGAUCAGAUGUGUCCUCCAAAUCGGCUCCUGGCCGGUUGCGUCCCUGGAGCGCGGGGGGGCCGACGGAAUGGCACAGUGGAGUCGCAGCCGAAGUGACGUUUGCGUCUUAAGAAUGCAGCCUCGCGGAAUUAGGACAAAGCUACUGUUUUCACUUUGAUUCAUCAUCAAGCUCUUGUUCAGACCAGUAGGGGGCAGUAGUUAGCCACAUUUCCAGAGAGAUGAACAGCAAUAGUCUGGCGAUAACAACAUCCAAGGCACACAAAUAUAAUGAACAAUGUCUGACCUUCAACUGUUAAACUGAAAUGUCACAACGUGUGUCUCAGCAGUAAGGUUUAACUUUUGACUCCUGCUUAUUCAUUGGAUCCGAGAAUGCAGCCAUUCUUUAGGAGGACCUUGUGUUAGCCCCAGUUUUAUAAGACCAACAGUUGUGACACUGAGGUGUUUGGAAGCACUAUAGACUUCAAGCUGUUCAGUCUUUUUUGUAUUUGUCUCACCACUGAUCAGUACAGUACAGCUCAAUGGCUGGUAUGAUUGAUCUGGAACCACUAAAUGAGCCCCUCAGGAGAUGCCAGGACCGAUGAGCUCAGAUUAAACAGUCAAGGUGAAAAGUGGUUGACAAUAAAAGUAAUUGAUUUUGAAAUAUCACAGCAGUUUGUUAUAUUACUUUCUUUUUUGAAAAAAAAACAGUUUAGAAAAAUAGUUUCUAGAGACAAAAUAUUUUUCUAAAUCCCCUGGGUUGGUGAAUCAUGACUGACUGAUAGCCUGAUAAACAUCUGACUUCCCAGCAAUAACAGGGCGAACGUCAGACUGACCCCCACAGUUGAACAGAUAUUGUUUUUGAUGCAUAGUUCCAAGUUAUUACAACAUGGCACAGGCUGCAUCUCUGCGGUCUUUUUCCUUAGUUUAUGGGAAAUGUAUAACCAGAAACGCUAGGGAGAAAGAAAAAAACAGUAGGUUUUCUGUCACAUUUCUAUCAGGUAUGUGUUUGUACAGUACCGGUCAAAAGUUUGGAAGCACUUUCUCAUUAAAUUGAAUGAGAAAAUGUGUUCAAACUUUUAACUGGUACUGUACCUGUAAUUUAGUGAUUCAUAAUUUAUUAAACAAAAUGAUUUAGUUUGUCAUACACUUCUUUAUUGUCUGUGUCUGAGAGCUUUUAGAUGUUUUCAUAGUUUGCUGAAAGCUAUAAUGCUUCACAAAGCACACAGCUCUUUAAUAAAGUGAAUCAAGAUGUCAAAUAAUUGAUACGACAACCUCCCGAACCUGAAUAUCCCCCUGGAUACAGCAGAUUCCACUGAAAACAUUCUCCUAAUAGUGUAAGAAGUGAUCCCAAUAAUGUAGCUUCAUAUCCAUUAAAUAUUUUGUCCCAAGUGAUUGACUGUUUCUUUCCCAUGUUUACAUUUCAAAAUGGACAACCAUGUAAAGAAUAAUGUGUGUUUUUCAUGGAUUUAAUAUUAGCUAGAUUAAGUGUCUGCCAGUGCUGGCGGUCGCUGUGUUUUCAUAACCAGGAGAGAGGAGAGAAGUAGUAACUCUGCCUCUCUGUUUCUGUCUCCCUCACGGACACACACGCACAAACACACAAAGUCCAUCACUGCAGCCAGCGAGGUUACAUAAAAAAACUAUUCAUGCGGAUAGGCAUCCUAUCUGACAGGCAUGCUCGGAGUUAGCGGAAGGUCAGGUGGUGAAGGGGUUACUUUAAAAAGGUUUACUCAAACUCAUAUGGAACCACGCACACUCGUACAACCCUCUCUGUCGCAACUGAAAUAUUUAAUGGUUUGGUUUGGCUCCUGAGAUUUUGUGUCCACGCAAACUACACGAAAGAGCUUUCCAAGCUGUUUCUAUUUCCGGCUCUAGUUGCAGGUUACAUUAUUCUUAGUUUCUCUAUGAUGAUGUAGUAUAAUAGUAGUAAUACUACAUGAACACUUGACCUGAAGUGGUUGUAGUGAAAGGUGAUUGAAUCGGGGGUGGGGAGGGUUGCCCCAUGAUAGUCGAUAUGCUCCUUUCCAGAUACAUAUUCAAAAGUAGAUGAAACCCCCAAAUAUUUCUCUCUAUUCUAUGGCAAAACACCGGUCAGAUAUAGUGGAAAAGUUUUCAAGACCAUAUAUUGACUGAACCAAAAUAAAACUGAUGAGUAGAUGUAACAAGUUCAUUUACAGGGAGAUAUGCAAGGAGACAGACACAAGGAUAAGUAUACUUAUUGUCAUUGUAAAAAGACGAACAAAAAAAAAGUGUAAUUGGCGAAUCAUCAGUCAGUUCAGCGGUAACAAGGUAAAACUAAAUUACUGGUUUAAAUCAGGACAUUAAAUACAUAUAAAAGACAAUAAAUAAAAAUAUAACAGAUAAUACACAGGCAUCAAUGACUUUAAAGUGCCAAGAGUGCUUUGUUAAAUUCUGAGUGGGUGCGGGUCAAUACAAUACAGUAUAUACGACAGAAAAGCAAAUUAAUCACACAAAUUUGGGUAGUUACAUUCAUGCAGUAUGUGUCUGUGGGACUGCUUGUAACAGCUUUAACACAAUUUCAUGGAUGUCGAAAAGAAUAACACAGCAAUAACACCGACACACUUUGACAAACACGCACAUACACACACACACACACACACACGCACACACACCUGUUUCUAAUCUCUGUUGCUAUAGUUCGCAGUUAUCCACUCGUAGACAGUUAGAAUAUUGUUGACCCACAGAGGACACUCAAGUGAGUUAAAUGAAAACCUGACGGGUCGGUUGUGCGUCUGUGGAAACGCAGGCUCAAUGGGACAUUUUUAAAUAUUUUACCACUCAAAAUAAACUACUUGUAUUCUUUCCAAUGAAGAAUAAAUGUAGCCCAUCAUGACACAAUAAACAGUGGGAGCUACAAGAAUAUUUCAACUGUUAACACUAGUUGUUAUGACAGACUGAGGCCACUUGAAAGCUGAGCCAAAUUCAGACCUUCUCAGAGUUUUAUAUUUUAUAAGAAAAACAAUGAAUCUUGUGACUUCUUAAAAUGAGAUCAGGCUUACAGUGUAAAACAUUCAGCAGGCUUAACAACAAGAUGUUGCAACAAUAACAGUCUGGGUAAUUCAAAAGUGUGAGUCUGGAUCUCAGCAUUAGACCAUAAAUUAAAAAAUAUAUCAUUUUUGCUUUGUUGCGAAGAUAAAAGGCUAUUGGAGUGUAAAACACUUUGGUUACCCGUCGGGUUCUUUAUAGUGCAAUCACUUGUAGUGUAUAAAAGUUGUCUCCUCAACUUCUGUCACUCCUCUGUUUAUGUGUUUACAUACUGUAUAUAUUAAUUUCACGGUGUAGAGGUUUUUAAUUUUUAUGUUGUUUACAGUUAAAAUAAAGCAGUGUAGUUCAGGUACACAGUGCGCUGACUGUAUCACAGUCAUGUAAACCCACUUGUAAAAAACCAAUUCCUACAAAAAAUUAGUCAGCAUUUUUAUGUAAUAAUAUGACAGCAAGUGUCACACCUUAACAGAGAAUACCCUUUUUCUGCUAUUUGUCCCCUCUACAAGAAGACGAUGGUUUAAUGGUUUGACGAUGGUUUGAAGAAAGGCAUACAGGCACGGAGGUUUUUUUACCCAACUACCAGAACAAUAACACAACCUUUGAGCUAACAGAAUGCUCUGGCAAGUUGACAUCUAAACAUAUACUCCUAACACAUUUAUGAUUAAUAUUCACGACCCACAAACAGGGCAUUACCUGGUGGUGGCUGGAAUGCGUAGAAUUGCCCCAUAAGAAGAAGUUAACUUUUGGUUUAAGCAAUAACACUACAAAGAUAAACAGAUGUAUCAGAAUUAAAAUGACUUUGUAUUUCUUUCUCUCCUCUCUGACUCUCCCUGUGUAUCUCUCUCUCUCUCUUUUACUCACUUUCUUUCUCUCUUUGUCUCUCUUAGGGACAGACAUUCACACACUUGCACACACUAAGGUCACAAGUCAAAAGGGUUUGAAUGGCAGGAAGGGAGUGGGAUUGUUAAUACUGGACAAAACUAUAAUAUAUGGUGUGAACUACUUUCUGUGCCACCAAACUUUAUCUUCACAUCUAUCUCACACACACACCCACACACACACAUUGUGUGUGCCAGCAUCUUAUCUUUUUCAUCGACAGACCCGGGUAUAACUCCAUUACCUUCCUUCCCAAUUAUGGAGGAACUUGCUGUGUGUGUGAGUCUGUCUGUCUGUACGUGUGUGUGUGUUAGAGCCCCUAUUUCUGUCCCACCUCUACUUCCUGGAGAUUAAAACAAGAACAAACUAAAUAGAUGAAUGGAACUUAAUGUUGAAAAACGCAACAGAAAAGAGGCCACUUCUCUUAAUGUGAUUAUUUAUGGGGAUUUAUUUUUUCUUUCUGAAUGUCAAUAGAGGCUGUUCUACUGCAACCAUUCCAACGUGAUUUCCAAAACCUGUUCGUAAAAAUGUAUGCGAAAUAUUUGACAUAGAAAUUUGUAACAAUACAUACUAACUGGUUAACCACGCCCCUUGAGUGAACGUCUCUCCGCCAUGUUGGAUUCUCGAGUGUACGUCCCUCCGCCAUGUUGGAUUUUUUGAGGGGGUUAGGGUAAGUAUUGUAUUCUUACAAUUUAACAUUGAUUUCUUGUUAAAAAAUGCAAUCAUAACACGUUUAUUUUACAUCGUUAGACUUCACGAAGUGUGUUUACGGGGUGCAGGUCCCCAUUCACUUUGAAUAGGGUGACGUCAUCAGUUGCCAGUCCAUAUUUAUUUAGUAUGUAUCACUACGAAUUUGUAUCUUCAAGAUUUUCGUACAUUAUAUUUUUGUAUUUUUCCGAACAGGUUUUGGAGAUCAGGCUGACCAUUCAUACAAAGGUAGAUAGAGAAUUUUCUUCCACACAAAAGGUCUAUAAUAUCUACAGUAAUUUAAAUCAGUUGAACAGUCUGGACCUCCAGCAUCUGGAUAAGCUACGGCUGUUUUUCCAAAAUGUAUUGUUUUACUAAGACAUGUCAAUACUAUUGAGGAGAGAACUUCGAGAAAUCUCAAUAUUGGUCAGCUUGACAGGGCAGCUUUGAUUCUUUCGGGAGAGUGUCCCGAUUGAGAUCACAAUGUUGUUCUCAUUUAUUUAAAUGUAUUCAUUGUGCAUUGUUUUUUAAAAAGUACCAGGUUAACUUGCUAAGAACAGUGUUUCAUGAAUAAUGUUCCCUUGUGUUACUAUUAUUGUAGCAACCUGAGCUCCCGGUCAACAUCAGGACGGCAGAAAUUCAACAUACUGUAUAUGUUAUAUUCCAACUCUCGGCGUUGUCAUUCGCUCGCAUGACUUCUCCUACCACAGCUAUGCUGAUGACACCCAACUAACUCUUCCCUUCCCUCACUCGGAUCUCUGCCUGUCUGACUGACAUCUCUCAGUGGAUGUCCACUCACCAUCUGAAAAUCAACCCCGACAAGGCUGAACUACUUCUCUUUACGGGAAAAGAUUCUCCUACACAGUACCUGACAGAUAGAAGGAUUAAAGACACGUUAUGAGCUGGACAGUGAAUUUGUUUCUGUCAGAACACAGAACAAAGUAGCUUUAAGACAUACAUUAGAAAUGUGUUAGGGCCAUUGGCAGCUGGCCACAAAAAAAAAGAAAAAAUAUAUCAUUUUGUCAAUAUUUAUGUUUUUGAAAUAUGGAAUAUACCCAGUAAUAUUUGUAAAAUAAGAUAUCUGCGCCAAAAUAUAUGCUUUUCCUGCACGUCCUCUCUGCCUGUCUGCAUGGCUCAGAGGACAGAAUUUAUCAGGCCCUAAAAGAGGCAGGUCGAAGAAGCAGUUUAGCCAAUUACUGAUUAAAGAUAUAAAUGAGUGGCAUAUAAUUUAGCCAAUCAGCAUCCUGAAAUAGAGUCAGCCUUGGGCAAUCUUAGAAAACUACAAAAUAAAACCGGAAACAAACCCAAACCGUGACAGAUGUCCCCCACUCCCUUGCUAUUUGCUAUAGCUACAGUAAAAUGUAGCGUCCAUGUGUAUUUAUGUGGACCUGACAGUGGAACACACACCUUCUAAUAAUAAUAAUACAUUUAAUUUGUAAUGCACUUUAUAUUUAAGAAAAUCCCCAAGUGCUACAUGAUAAAACAGGUAAGUGCUAACAUUAAAAACACACGGAGAGUUUGAAAACAAAAACAAAACGAGUUCACUAAAAAGCUCUCCUAAAAGGGUGGGUUUUUAGGCCACGUUUAAAAGCAUCCAGUCUGUGGUUUCCUCAGGUGGUCAGGGAGAGCAUUCCACAGACUUGGAGCAGCUGAGCAGAAAGCCCGAUCUCCCAUUGUACUGAGCUUAGUCCUGGGAGGUUUUAAAAGAUAUGCUGAGGCAGAUCGGAGGGUACGUGUUGAGGUCUGUGGGGUGAGGAGUUCCUUGAGGUAGGGGAGGCGGGGGGGGGGGGCUUCACCAUGGAUGCACUGGUGAGACAGAGUGAGACAGAAAGCCAGUGGAGUGAUUUGAGGAUGGGGGUGAUGUGCUCAUGUUUGAGCACCCUCAACAGUAUCCUAGCAGCGCUGUUCUGUAUAUACUGCAAUUUCUGGAGGCUUUUCUCAGGGAUCCCGGUGAGGAGCGCAUUGCAAUAGUCCAGCCUGGAGGAGACAAAAGCGUGGACUAGCUUUUCCGCAUCUGCAGGAGCGAGUGUGGGACGGAGUUUGGCGAUGUUCCUGAGGUGGAAGAAGCAGGUCUUGCAGAGAUGUUUGAUGUGAGCCUCAAAGGUCAGAUGGAAGUCCAUUUUAACACCUAAGUUAGUGACUGAUGUUGAAAGUGGAAUAUUUUGGCCGGAGAAGGUGAUGCUGGUAAUGUCAGAUGACCGAACCUGGUGUGGAGUGCCGACUAAGAUGGCUUCAGUCUUGGAGCUGUUUAGCUGCAGAAAGUUUUGCUUCAUCCACGCCUUUAUCUCCUCCAGGCAGGUGGUCAGAGUGGAUGAUGGCAGGGCAGCAGAGGGGGUUGGGUUUGUCCUGAGGUAGAGUUGAGUGUCAUCAGCAUAGCAGUGGAAUGAAAUUCCAUGCCAGCUGAUGACAUGGCCAUGGGGGAGCAUGUAGAUAAUGAACAGGGUGGGGCCGAGCGCUGAGCCUUGAGGGACACCACAGGUGACAUUGUGUGUCGGGGAUUUAGCCUCUCCCAAGGCGACAUGCUCAGUUCUCCCGGUGAGGUAGGAUGAGAACCAUUGAUGGACGAGGUCAGAAAGACCGAUAGUGGAAUGUAGACGGUGGAGGAGGAUGUUGUGGUCCACAGUAUCGAAUGCUGCAGUCAAGUCCAGGAGGAUGAGAAGAGAUGGGGAGCCAGCGUCUGCAGUCAUCAGUAAGUCAUUUGUGACUCUGACCAGGGCUGUUUCUGUGCUGUGGCCAGGGCGGAAACCAGAUUGAAAUUUCUCGAACAGGUUGUUUUGUUUUAGAGGGUCCUGAAGCUGUGCGGCAACUACUUUUUCCAGCACCUUGGGAAGAAAUGGAAGGUUGGAGAUGGGCCUGUAGUUGGCAAAGACUUCUGGGUCUUGGGUGGGUUUUUUGAGAAAUAGCCUGAUGACAGCGGUCUUCAGUGUUGAUGGAACAUGGCCAGCCCGGAGAGAGUGGUUAAUGACCUUUGUAAUGAGGGGACUUAUGGCAAGGAGGUUGGAUUUUACCAGGGCUGUGGGGAAGGGGUCCAGUGCACAGGUGGAUGGUUUCAUCUUUUUGAUAUCCUCAACUUCUCGCUGUGAGAUGGCAAAAAAACAAGGUUGGGAAAUCCCAGGCUGUGGGUCAGCAGUCGGGACAGGCAGUGUGGAGAAACUGAAUAGCAGGGAGCGCCCUCCCUGUCCCGAUAUAUAUA